Molecule: ribosomal RNA, 496 nt
Filed under: uncultured bacterium
Lineage: Bacteria
Description: partial 16S ribosomal RNA
Rfam family: Bacterial small subunit ribosomal RNA
Source: RNAcentral
AUGCACGCUGGCGGCGUGCCUAAUCCCUGCAAGUCGCGCGAACAGACGAGGAGCUUGCUCCUCUGACGUUAGCGGCGGACGGGUGAGUAACACGUGGAUAACCUACCUAUAAGACUGGGAUAACUUCGGGAAACCGGAGCUAAUACCGGAUAAUAUAUUGAACCGCAUGGUUCAAUAGUGAAAGACGGUUUUGCUGUCACUUAUAGAUGGAUCCGCGCCGCAUUAGCUAGUUGGUAAGGUAACGGCUUACCAAGGCAACGAUGCGUAGCCGACCUGAGAGGGUGAUCGCCCACCCUGGAACUGAGACACGGUCCCGACUCCUACGGUAGGCAGCAGUAGGGAAUCUUCCGCAAUGGGCGAAAACCUGACGGAGCAACGCCGCGUGAGUAAUGAAGGUCUUCGGAUCGUAAAACUCUGUUAUUAGGGAAGAACAAAUGUGUAAGUAACUAUGCACGUCUUGACGGUACCUAAUCAAAAAGCCACGGCUAACUACGUG